RNAcentral lists this ribosomal RNA (229 nucleotides) under uncultured bacterium. Its description in RNAcentral is "partial 16S ribosomal RNA". It matches the Rfam family "Bacterial small subunit ribosomal RNA", at positions 91 to 334 of the family's 1533-position model. The record is from RNAcentral.
UAAAGUGGCGCACGGGUGAGUAACACGUGAAUAAUCUACCUCCGAGUGGGGAAUAACUGAGAGAAAUCUUAGCUAAUACCGCAUAAUACCCACGGGUCAAAGCAUCAAUGCGCUUGGAGAGGAGUUCGCGGCCGAUUAGUUAGUUGGCGGGGUAAUGGCCCACCAAGACGAUGAUCGGUAUCCGGCCUGAGAGGGCGCACGGACACACUGGAACUGAAACACGGUCCAG